UAGUCCCAACCGUAAACGUUGUGUACUUGGUGUGGGGAGAUUUGACCCUUCCCGUGCCGGAGCUAACGCGUUAAGUACACCGCCUGGGGAGUACGGCCGCAAGGCUAAAACUCAAAGAAAUUGACGGGGGCCCGCACAAGCGGAGGAGCAUGUGGCUCAAUUCGAUGCAACGCGAAGAACCUUACCAGGGCUUGACAUAUAGCUGCACGCCCGGUGAAAGCCGGGAAGCCUUCGAGGGUGCUAUACAGGUGCUGCAUGGCUGUCGUCAGUUCGUGCCGUGAGGUGUUGGGUUAAGUCCCGCAACGAACGCAACCCCUGUGUUUAGUUGCUAGUUUGGGUGUUAAGCCCAAGCGCACUCUAGACAGACCGCCCGUGUAAGCGGGAGGAAGGUGGGGAUGACGUCAAGUCAGUAUGGCCCUUAUGCCCUGGGCUGCACACGUGCUACAAUGGCCGGUACAGUGGGAAGCAAUACCGCGAGGUGGAGCCAAUCCCCAAAACCGGCCUCAGUUCGGAUUGGAGUCUGC
Molecule: ribosomal RNA, 524 nt
Filed under: uncultured bacterium
Lineage: Bacteria
Description: bacterial SSU rRNA
Rfam family: Bacterial small subunit ribosomal RNA
Source: RNAcentral